Long non-coding RNA from Paramisgurnus dabryanus, 1124 nucleotides. RefSeq lists it as uncharacterized. The record is from RefSeq and is a predicted model, not a curated record. Lineage: Eukaryota; Metazoa; Chordata; Actinopteri; Cypriniformes; Cobitidae.
GAACAUUAUCAAAUAUUAUUAAUGUUGUAAAAUAUAUUGUUCAUUGUUAGUUCAUAUUAGCUAAGGCAUUACCAAAUGUUAAGGAAUAAACUCUUAUAGUAAAGUGUUACUAAAUUUUCUUUUACCAUUUCCUUCACAAUGUCUACUUAUUUCUAUGGCUAACAGAUUUUGUAACAUUUGUCUUUUUUACAGUCUUACCAUUGCUUGUAAGCUGGAUUGGGUAAGAUGGAUCAUCUUUAAAGGCACCAGGAGUUAAGGCAGAUGUGGAGGCACAAUGGGUGACACCAGACACACACCAAGCACAUUGUUCGGACAUUCAAUCAUGACAUGAUCCAGGUGGAUGCUGUCCAUUGAGGAAAGAGUUUGUUCAGCGGUUUCUGGAUAGAAUUAAUUCCAAAGAUGGGAAAAAGUGCACAUCCAGACAAGGAGCAAGCAAAAAGACAAGGAACUUGGUGCAGAGAAAAGCUGUGGCCAUUAACCCCCAUGUGAACAGCUUCAUGCAGUCCCUGAUUGAGUUCGAAUGGACGACUUCAAAGUAAAGGCCACUGUGGUCUGUCUGCCACAGUUUAAUGCAUUUAUUUUUAGUGUUAAAUGAAAUUCAAGUAGAAUAUUUAAAACUAUGGGCCAGUGUUCUUUUUACCACAGUGAAAUGUUACCUUUUAGUCGAUGAUGGACUUUAAACUGAAAACUUCAAACUAGGGAACAGUGUUCUAUUUGCCAGAGUUAAAUAUGUUACAGCAGGGGUCUCCAAACUUGUUUAUACUUGUUGAUUUUAUUUUAUGUUACUUGAUUAUAUGUUUAUUAUUGUUUAAAAUCUUGUUUUAAAUGUUUUGUUUCAAUUAAAUGUUUUUUUAAAUAAAAUUUUGAUACAAACAUUGCUUGGAUUGCCUUUUAAUUCAUUAUGUCAUGUCAAGGAUAGCAUUUUUACCAUAUUAAUAACUAUAGAUUUAAACCUAAAUCUCUAUCUAUUUUAUAUAAUAUUAUUGUAUUAACUGUAAUAAGUAAUAAAUAGUAUUUAUGGGUCAAUAUAGACAUUACAGUAAAUUACUGUAAAAAUAGACUACUGUAAUAAAAUAUUGUAAAAUUACAGUACAGUACUGCUUUGUAACUAUACAGUACUAGUU